UGCCUCCGUAGUUUAACUGGAUAAAGCGCCUGCCUUCGGAGCAGGAAACUGAAGGUUCAAAUCCUUCCGGAGGCAA
This 76-nucleotide transfer RNA is filed under the name Parcubacteria group bacterium ADurb.Bin159. Its description in RNAcentral is "tRNA-Arg". It matches the Rfam family "tRNA". From Rfam's summary of the family: Transfer RNA (tRNA) molecules are approximately 80 nucleotides in length. Their secondary structure includes four short double-helical elements and three loops (D, anti-codon, and T loops). The record is from RNAcentral.